This 579-nucleotide long non-coding RNA is filed under the name Junco hyemalis (dark-eyed junco). RNAcentral's name for it is "lncRNA (ENSJHYG00000009992.1)". Lineage: Eukaryota; Metazoa; Chordata; Aves; Passeriformes; Passerellidae. The record is from RNAcentral.
UACAGCUUUUGUGGUGACAAACAGUUUUCUUCACAAAUGAAAAUUAUCCCUGUUUGUGAAAAACACCCAUAGCUGAUAUCCUGGGCCCUGCCAACUUCCAGUCUCCGAGCCAGGUCUGACUUCUCUAAUUCAAGGUAUUUUUUACAACUGGAGGAGAGAAACCUUGUGCUGUGGUGCCCCUUGUGUCCUUCAGAACUCAGUGGAGUGGACACAAUCAAAGUGCCUACAUCAAUGAAAACAUUAAGAAGGAGAACUGGGAUUGUCUGUCUGUCUUAUCUGAAGAGAGGAAUGGUCACAUCAAAGCAAUAUCCAAGGAUGCAGGUCACCAUGAACAUGAAAGGUUUGUCACUUUUGCCAUGGCUGUCCCAGAGGAAAUGGAGCCUCACCUUCAGCUGGCAGAACGGGACAUAGGAACAUUUACAUCAGUGAUUAGGUAAGGAGUUAAGUUUCCUUCAACACCCACAGUAACCCUGAUUGUGGUAAAGAGAGCAGGUACAUUGGAGAGGUGUCAUCUCACAGCCUUGUGAAAAUGUCUGUGUUUACCCUGCUCCUUUUUCCCUCCAGUGACAUGGACUUUGG